UGGCUCAGGACGAACGCUGGCGGCGCGCCUAACACAUGCAAGUCGAACGAGCGAGAGAGAGCUUGCUUUCUCGAGCGAGUGGCGAACGGGUGAGUAACGCGUGAGGAACCUGCCUCAAAGAGGGGGACAACAGUUGGAAACGACUGCUAAUACCGCAUAAGCCCACGGGUCGGCAUCGAACAGAGGGAAAAGGAGCAAUCCGCCUUGAGAUGGCCUCGCGUCCGAUUAGCUAGUUGGUGAGGUAACGGCCCACCAAGGCGACGAUCGGUAGCCGGACUGAGAGGUUGAACGGCCACAUUGGGACUGAGACACGGCCCAGACUCCUACGGGAGGCAGCAGUGGGGAAUAUUGCACAAUGGGGGAAACCCUGAUGCAGCGACGCCGCGUGGAGGAAGAAGGUCUUCGGAUUGUAAACUCCUGUUGUUGAGGAAGAUAAUGACGGUACUCAACAAGGAAGUGACGGCUAACUACGUGCCAGCAGCCGCGGUAAAACGUAGGUCACAAGCGUUGUCCGGAAUUACUGGGUGUAAAGGGAGCGCAGGCGGGAAGACAAGUUGGAAGUGAAAUCCAUGGGCUCAACCCAUGAACUGCUUUCAAAACUGUUUUUCUUGAGUAGUGCAGAGGUAGGCGGAAUUCCCGGUGUAGCGGUGGAAUGCGUAGAUAUCGGGAGGAACACCAGUGGCGAAGGCGGCCUACUGGGCACCAACUGACGCUGAGGCUCGAAAGUGUGGGUAGCAAACAGGAUUAGAUACCCUUGUAGUCCACACCGUAAACGAUGAUUACUAGGUGUUGGAGGAUUGACCCCUUCAGUGCCGCAGUUAACACAAUAAGUAAUCCACCUGGGGAGUACGACCGCAAGGUUGAAACUCAAAGGAAUUGACGGGGGCCCGCACAAGCAGUGGAGUAUGUGGUUUAAUUCGACGCAACGCGAAGAACCUUACCAAGUCUUGACAUCCCUUGACGAUGCUGGAAACAGUAUUUCUCUUCGGAGCAAGGAGACAGGUGGUGCAUGGUUGUCGUCAGCUCGUGUCGCGAGAUGUUGGGUUAAGUCCCGCAACGAGCGCAACCCUUAUGGUCAGUUACUACGCAAGAGGACUCUGGCCAGACUGCCGUUGACAAAACGGAGGAAGGUGGGGAUGACGUCAAAUCAUCAUGCCCUUUAUGACUUGGGCUACACACGUACUACAAUGGCGUUAAACAAAGAGAAGCAAGACCGCGAGGUGGAGCAAAACUCAGAAACAACGUCCCAGUUCGGACUGCAGGCUGCAACUCGCCUGCACGAAGUCGGAAUUGCUAGUAAUCGUGGAUCAGCAUGCCACGGUGAAUACGUUCCCGGGCCUUGUACACACCGCCCGUCACACC
This 1362-nucleotide ribosomal RNA is filed under the name metagenome. RNAcentral's name for it is "bacterial SSU rRNA". It matches the Rfam family "Bacterial small subunit ribosomal RNA". The record is from RNAcentral.